This is a long non-coding RNA of Chenopodium quinoa (quinoa), 762 nucleotides long. RefSeq lists it as uncharacterized. Lineage: Eukaryota; Viridiplantae; Streptophyta; Magnoliopsida; Caryophyllales; Amaranthaceae. The record is from RefSeq and is a predicted model, not a curated record. The transcript is spliced from 2 exons.
GGUUUUUUUUUUUAAUACAAAGUAGAUGUUAAGUUAAACAAUAUAAGCUACUCAUUAAAUAAGAAUAAAAAAAAUAACAAUUAUCAUAAAGUUUUAUAUGCGACUGGCUGUACCGUAUGACCAGUCACAUUUUUAAUAUUUUUUUUUAUAUUUUCUCUCUCAUCUCUUUCUCUCCUCUCUCUCCUCUACCUUCCUCCAUUUUCUCUUCCUAACUUUCUCUCUCUAAUCAUCAAUGGCCGAGCUAGGUCUUCCGCCGCCGUCAGGUUCGUUGUCUCCGUCCAAAUCUCCUCGAAGCUCCAAGCCAUAUCGUCGUCACCGUCUUCGUUUCGUCAUCGUCGAAGCUCCUCGAACUCCAAACCAACCCAAACAUUCGUCGUCAUCUUCAUAUUUGCCGGCGAAAUCAGCCAAAGACCUCCACCUCCGUCGUCGUCCUGUUAAUUGAUUGCUGUUGGAGUUGAGCAAUUGCAAAAUCUCAGGCCAUUUUAACUAUCCUUGGAUGCUUCACCUCCUAAUGUCAUAUAUCAAGACAAUUUUGAAAUCUUUCCAGGCUUUCAAGUCUCAACAUAUUUUUAGAGAAGAAAAUCAGGCUGCAGACUAUGUUGCUUCUCUUGGUUACUCUACUCCGACUCAUCAAGAUAUCGACCCUUUUAUGGAUAGCAAGUUUUCUUAUUUUUUACUCCAUGAUAAAAUUAGGUCACGGGCUUGUAAGAAGACGGUCCUAAUUCUCCCCAUGUACUUUACGUUUUUUUUUUUUUUUUUUUU